AUAAAUGGCAGAGACUUUUCCCUAAAUGGGUUACUUGAUUUAAGAGCUGCUGGCUAAUUUUGGUUGGAUAAUUUAAUAGAAGAGGGAAGAGGAAAGGAAAGAAAGGGGCUUGAAGAAAGAGGAAGAGAAAAGAAACACAAGGAUGGAGAACAAGGAGAGACCAUUUGUUCUCAAACAGUAGCUGCCACUUCCAGCUGGGAGAGAAAUGAGAGCUCUGUUCAUGGUGAUCCAGUAUCUCCAGAAUCCAUCACCACUGCUGACCUCCCACUCCAUGUCUCCAAGUGCUCUGCUAUACCUGCCACCAGCAGCUGCCACCUCCAGACUUUGGAACGUUAUAAUAAAACCUCUGUUCUACAAUCUGCCUUCUGCUUCGACAUCCUCACUCCCCACAAACAAUUCUAAUAAACAGCAAUUAAUCUGA
Molecule: long non-coding RNA, 421 nt
Filed under: Pan troglodytes (chimpanzee)
Lineage: Eukaryota; Metazoa; Chordata; Mammalia; Primates; Hominidae
Description: lincRNA
Source: RNAcentral